UAGAACACAAAUACAUAAAUUUUAAUCUGAGAAAAAUACAAAAUGAAACCAUGUACAAGUUAUGUACAAACUCUUUUUACAGGACAAUAGAUUUAUCACUGGAUAUUACAUAUGACAAAGUCAGGUAGAUCAUUUCUGAGCACCAGCAUUUGUUCUCUCUCACCAACCCAUAAUAGUAAAAGUAAAAUGAUGAAGUCAUACUCCUUUUUCUUGAUGAACUUCUAAGUUAAGAUGGAUAGCUGGUUCUCAGUGUACCCGCCCCAUUACCACUCCCAAAUUAUAACUAAAUAGACACGUGUAGCCGUCAAAAUAUAUUGUAUAUACAUGUUUGCAUGUGUGUGGUUUUUUUCCCUGAAGGAACAAAAAAAAAACCCCAAACCUAUCAGGCUUGAACUCUACAGAAAUGCAAAAGUUAAAGUUAUAUAAACUUUCUUUUUUUGAACAGGGGUUAGAUUAUUUGCAUUGGCUAAGCGUGUGUGUCCCAAGCUAUACCAUGGCAGAAGCAGCAUUUUUUAACUGCUACUUAAGGAAAAUUUGAGAUAACUUCUGCUGACAUUUUCAUGUGGUUCCCGUUAGCUAUUGUCCAGUCAAAAAAGUGCCCAUAUGUCAGAUUUUUGGUUUCUGAAAUACCUGUUUUCUAUUACGUGUAUUAAAAUACCUACAUGUCGUGUUGUGUUUAACAUUUUUUUUAAAGUUACAAAGAUCGCCUCUAAAGCGUAUUGACUGAAGCAGUAAAAAGCUUUCUCUCAACCUCACUCAGGUUCUAAUUAGAUGCAGCGUUACCAUGUUUAGCAUCUUAAGCCAGAUAUCAUUCUAAAUUAGACUCAAAGUGAUAAAAAUGUAUUUUAUAUUUUCUUCUUUCCCCCUACCCCUUCUCAUUUUGACAGUUAACAGUAGUACACCAUUAUAUAAAACAGAUACAUUAGACCAGCGGUCCUAUCUAUUAACUUCAGUGGAAUUUACUUGGUUAUAGAGACUACUGCACAUUAUAGACUAUACAGUUUCAAAGUGACUGCAUGUUCUAUAUCAGAGAAUAUCUGUGCUGAAUAGAUAUAUUACUUAUAUAAAUAUAGUUUUGAUAAAUGCUGGGGCAGAAUUGUCAGUACUAUAAGCCUGCGUACCAUCCUCGGUAGUGGCCACAGCUGAACAGCUACUCUAUUCUUUCAAUUAUUAUUUCAGAAGGGGGCUGUACCCACACCUACUAGUUUUGCUUAAUACAAAAGUACUAUGAACAUUAUGCUUGCUAAGCUGAAUAUUAGGAAACCUGCUAUGUAUAUAUAACAAAUUAAAAAAAAACAAACAUCAAAAAAACCCCAAACCAAAGCAAACCACAAAAACUAUAUCCCCUAAGACUAGGAUUUUUCAAACAUCCUUAGAAUUAAAAAAAUAAAGUUUAGAAAGUGCUUCUUCAUAUGUUGGGGAUAUUGGUGGUUCACAUGGCAGGGAGAGGAAAACAAAAGAAGGAAUACAAAGAACUUUCCUUUCCCCUGAAUUUUUCUAUGCAUCUGCCAUUGACUUUGAUAGGUAUUCCCAGGCCAAUCCGCUGUAACACAGACAAAGGAUUUCUGUUUUUACUUUGUCCUGUUAUUGCCUUUCACACACUUGGGUAUUUUGUUUAAGCACAUUUAAAACUAGAAAUGAAAGGUGAGACACACACUUCUUUUGAUGCUAAAGAAAUUCACAAACAAAAUACCAAAAUAUCACACACACCCUGACCUCAAUAUGUGUUCAUUUCAAAUGCACUGUGAUCUAGAAGUCUUUACAAACCUGCUUCUUGAUAAAACCAUUUAAGCUCCUACUCUGUGUUUAACUUGAGUCCAUGUGAAUCUAGAACAGGGCAGUUGCUAACGUUUAUGGAUUCACUGGUGAGUGACCAAGAAGUGAAAAGAUGCAUAAUUACCCAUUUGUAAAUUAUUGCUUUUAUUGUCAUGCAUUAGUUUAUGCAUCCAGUUAUUGCAGUAGGUGUUAGAUGUAGUUUACACACACAGAAACCCCAACAAAACAUGUCCUCUGUGAAUGAGAACACACUACUAUACUUUCUCCUUCUACUCUAGAGGUCAAGAAAUUCAAAUCUUCCUUACAUGGGCCAAAACCUCCAACAAAAACAACAACUUUGACCACCACCACCCAACAACCUAUAAUAAAAGGCUAUAGACAAUACUUUUGUAGUGUCUCUUGGACAUUGUAUGCAAACUAUUUUUCCCUCUUUCCACGUUUGGCUGAGUCCAAUUAAGUCUUUUCAAACCCAUGCUGCCUGAGCCAUUGAGUGGCCUUUUUCUAUAGAAUUCAAAAGUAGGAGAACAAAAUAUCUUUAGUAUGGCUAAACCUGGCUGCUUGUACAGCCUGUAAGAUGCUGAAGACUCAUCAGCUCUUUCAAGACACCUGUGCAGCUUAAUAAGGCUACCUGGGCUCCUCAUUAUCUUGAAACUCAUGGCCUUCACCCUUUAUAAGCAGCACUGGGUUUCCCACCAAAGAUGAACUGGAAAUAGCUACGUGCUUACAUUUGCUUGAGGACCUGGCUGUGUUGCAUUGCUCUCACCCCCCUGCUUUCUCUAUCCCUAUGUUCCUGGCUUUUGGGCAAGUAAGGCUUAGAAGGUUCGUUUGAGUUACAGGUAGAAUAACAAUGUUGUCCAUGAACCUAUAACACUGUAUAAUUCAUUGUGCACUAGAUCAAGGUAUUUGUACUUCCCACCACGUGCGUCCUGCUGAUUUAAAAGAAGAGGAGCUGUUAAAAUACAGGUGACAGGUUUAGGAAGUGUUUGCAAAGCACAAGGAAAGCUUUGCAUCUCUUUUUUUUUCCCUAUUAUAAAUGCAUUAUAUAUGUAUCAUCUUAGAAGCUGCAGUAAGACAGUCACAUUGAGGCCUCAAAAAUUGCAUUUAGAUUCUGAAUAUCUUCUUUUCUUUACACCUUAGCUUUUGCUGUGUUGGGCACUUGCAAAGCAAACAAUGUCCCAUUGGAGGACAGUUUUGUCCUUUCAUCUUAAUGCUCAUGGGCUUCAGGAAACAAAUUAAAAUAAUAGCCACGAGACAGAGAGACAGCAGGCUUUCUGGCAAUGUGGGAGCAUGCAUGUUCAUGGGUGUGAGGAGGGGGCCAGGAGCACACACCUGCUUCAGCAGUGAGAGAGGGUUCUGUAGUAUACUCUCAGUGCACCACUAAUGUAACUAACAAGAAUGGCUGCUUUUUGGUCAAACCAGAAGGAAACAGUAGGUACAAUUCCUCCCUGUGGUAGCCUGUAAGUAAGUCAGUCACACAUUUUCUUUUUCUUUGUGUCUUUCUUCACCCAUCGCCCACCCCGAAAAAAAUAAUGACCACCUUCUUGUGAUGACUCUGUAUCAAAUACAUACCCCCCCCAUAUAUAAGCAUGUUUAUAUCCACACAUAUGUAUAUGUGUGUAUGUGUAGACAUGCAUAUAUGCAAAUACAGACACACAUUUUAUCCAAUGCAUGAGUUGCCAAUAAAAAAUAAUUGCUUAGCCUGUAAUAAUUGUGUAUACAAUUAAUGAAAAAGCUGAAAUCUACCCCCCACCUUGUUUUUUGAGAAAGGAAUAAGAAUUAUCAAUAAAUAUCAAAAACUUAUUCUACAUCAGUUGUCACAUGGUCUGCCAGCUGCUGCUUAUGCCACUUUCCCAGCUACUUGCCCUGGUGUAACUUCAUAUAUCCAAAAUCCAAAUACUGGUGCUGGCCUUAUUUUAGUCUUUAAUGGCUAAACUUCAAAGAUCUCCAACAGGUUUUCUCCAUGAUCCUCCAUCUAAUUGCCAGAAGUCGAUCCUCUGUCUUUGAUCAUCAAAAAGAGGAGUAAGAAAAGAUUAAUUGCUCUUAGCUUUUCUAGAAAUGGGAAAUGCAAACUAUACCUCUCUGCCUGGCAUGCUUUCUACAGGUGGUGUUCUGUCUUUCUAUCAUUACAUACGGAGCCAUCUGUGCUGGGAGAGAGCAUGAGUGUAUGCAGAUCUUGUCCUUUAUUUAAGUACAAUGACAGCAUGAUAUAUUUGAGUGGGACAGUUAAACUGGACAGAGACACACACAAACCUUAGCUAAGUAGGGGUGUUGUAUUUGCUUCAUUAGUAUGUUUUAUCCAGUGAAUGCUCACUUCUGAAGGAAGGACACUCAGAAAUGGCACUGUAUAUGAUAAAGUAUAAGAUAGAUGUAAUGUUUUAUGAUGUCCCUACAGUAAAAGACUGGUCUUCUAAGAAAAAAAAAAAAUAAAAAAUUCACAUGUACUUGGUGAAGUUGAACACAAAGUUCAAACAUUCUCCUGUACUCAGGACCAGCUUUUUUCACUCUGGUUAUAAUACGAAUGCAGUUCAUAAAUGAAAAAGGAGCACUGACUUCAAAAUAAAGGCUUAACAUGACCCAACACAGAAGCUGGAUAUAAAUUAUAAUGUAUCACUAGCUGAAGCAGCAUAGAUCAGAAGAACUGACCAGAAUAAUCUUCUGUUUGAGGACAGUGAAAUGGGUUAAACAUGGUCUAAAUAAUAAUGAAAACCUGCUUAAAUUAUUUUGUUACUUUGUAGGAGAGUGAAAUAUUUUAAACAAUCCAAUUUUACAGCUACUGUAUUAACAAUUCUUGUAUUGUCUUUAAAUAGCUAUUCUACAAAAUGUAACAACAAAGUAGUCACAGUCCAAGAAGUCACUCCAGAAUAAACUCUAUUAGGUGUUACUAUGGUUAUAUUUGUACUGCAGCCAGUGGACAAACAUUAAAGCUGAGAUAGUUUAGCCUAAAUGUUGGAUUAUAUAGUGGACAUCAUUGUUUUCACAACAAAUUAAUCAUCUGCUUUGUAUUUGUUUGAUUCACUGAUAUUUCUUUAAUGAUAGUAUGUUUUAUUGUGGUGUUUAACAAUUCUGCAAAAUUACAAAGCCUAAAGUUAACUUGCACAAUGAAAAUCUGUCUUUCCUGAUGACUGUGGUUUUUGUUUAAUCCUUAUUAGCACAGCCUUUUCUGGUUUGGUUUUUUUUGGGGUUUUUUUUUUUUUUGGUGGUGGUUUUUUUUUUUUUGGUCACACAAUUGUGUUAGAUUGUUGCUAAUUUGAGACAGAGAGAGUUACUAAAUCAUUUAAAACAGCAAAUACUUGGGUGGAUAGAUACUGCAGCACAGAUAUGAAACAUCAUAUUUUUGUCUGAUGGCUAUGAAGCUUGUCGGCAACUUUGUGAAACUGCUGAUACAAAAGGCACCCAUCAAAGGCCUUUUGUAGAUUAUUGUAAUAAAUACAUUCAUUACCUUUAUUUUGAUUUGGUUAUUACUGUAUUUUAUGUGUGGUGUCCCAACAAAGGAAAAAUUGAAUUAAAAAAUAACAAAAAAACCCAAACAACCUGCCCCCAAAAACCAAACACACCCCCCCACCCAAAACAAAACAAAACCCCAAAAAACCCCCCCAAAAAAAACCCAACUUCUAAAAUAAGAUGUUACUUGGUUCAGGAAUUAACUGAGAACAGCAUGUUGUGAGAUUACAGAGCUGAGGCUAAGCCAAUUUUUAAUCCUCAGCUGAACUCACCAAAAGGAGAUUCCGUGUGCCUUUUACCAAGGUAUGAGCUAUCACCAAAGUGCAAAGAUCUGGAGCUAAACCUUUAUACAUAUCAGGAAGAAUUUGAACCAAAUAAAUAAACAAGAUUGAUGCAAGGCUGUCAGCACUUCUGAAGUAAGGAAGCAACAAAAUAUAGUAGAUGUGAAGGUUUAUAACUUAUGAUUUCAUGCACUAUUUAUGCACUCUGGUUUAAAGCACUGUAAUACAUGGCAAAAGAAGAGGAAUUGCCAAGCCUGACUUCUGGAAAUUAGCGACUGCUGAUGGCUAAUGGGAAGUGGAGUGGAAUUGACAGAUUUGCCAUUUAUAGAAAGUGCUGCCCAGGAACACAUGAUCUACAUGGUACUCAGUUUAGAGUAGUGAUGUUCACUAAGCUAGUGUCGCAGGAGGUUAUUGAGGAUGCUGGGCUUCUGUCUGUGUAUGUGGGCACGUAGCAUGGGAGCGGGGUGCAGUGUGUCUGUGGGGGGUUAUUGGACCUUAACAUAACUGGCAAUUAAGAUGAGCUGUAUAUGGUAAUAAAACGAAGAAUAUUUCAGAAUGUUACAUGUACAAAAAUAUGACUUUCAAGUUUGAAAAUAAAUAAGUUCAGUUUAUUAAGAGCUGGUGUCAAUGCUGAACAAAAUACACAUCCUCCAGUAAAGAAGGUGAACUGGUUUUU
RNAcentral lists this long non-coding RNA (6174 nucleotides) under Strigops habroptila (Kakapo). RNAcentral's name for it is "lncRNA (ENSSHBG00005020822.1)". The record is from RNAcentral. Lineage: Eukaryota; Metazoa; Chordata; Aves; Psittaciformes; Psittacidae.